GACGAACGCUGGCGGCAUGCUUAACACACGCAAGUCGAGCGAGUGAGUUCUCUUCGGAGAACGAUCUCGCGGCGGACGGGUGAGUAACACGUGGGCAACCUGCCUUGUAGAGGGGGAUAGCCUUCCGACAGGAAGAUUAAUACCGCCUAACAAAAUUUUAUCGCAUGGUGCAAUUUUUAAAGGAGUAAUCCGCUACAAGAUGGGCCCGCGGCGCAUUAGCUAGGUGGUGAGGUAACGGCUCAACAAGGCGACGAUGCGUUGCCGACCUGAGAGAGUGAACGGCCACAUUGGAACUGAAACACGGUCCAUACUCCGACGGGAGGCAGCUGUGGGGAAUAUUGCACAAUGGGGGAAACCCUGAUGCAGCAUCGCCGCGUGAGUGAUGACGGCCUUCGGGUUGUAAAGCUCUGUCAUUAGGGACGAAAUUGACGGUACCUAAUGAGGAAGCCACGGCUAACUACGUGCCAGCCGCCGCCGUAA
This 480-nucleotide ribosomal RNA is filed under the name uncultured bacterium. Its description in RNAcentral is "partial 16S ribosomal RNA". It matches the Rfam family "Bacterial small subunit ribosomal RNA", at positions 28 to 523 of the family's 1533-position model. The record is from RNAcentral.